RNAcentral lists this ribosomal RNA (449 nucleotides) under uncultured bacterium. Its description in RNAcentral is "partial 16S ribosomal RNA". It matches the Rfam family "Bacterial small subunit ribosomal RNA", at positions 29 to 523 of the family's 1533-position model. The record is from RNAcentral.
AGCGAACGCUGGCGGCAGGCCUAACACAUGCAAGUCGAACGGACCCUUCGGGGUUAGUGGCGGACGGGUGAGUAACACGUGGGAACGUGCCUUUAGGUUCGGAAUAGCUCCUGGAAACGGGUGGUAAUGCCGAAUGUGCCCUUCGGGGGAAAGAUUUAUCGCCUCUAGAGCGGCCCGCGUCUGAUUAGCUAGUUGGUGAGGUAAUGGCUCACCAAGGCGACGAUCAGUAGCUGGUCUGAGAGGAUGACCAGUCACACUGGGACUGAGACACGGCCCAGACUCCUACGGGAGGCAGCAGUGGGGAAUCUUGCGCAAUGGGCGAAAGCCUGACGCAGCCAUGCCGCGUGAAUGAUGAAGGUCUUAGGAUUGUAAAAUUCUUUCACCGGGGACGAUAAUGACGGUACCCGGAGAAGAAGCCCCGGCUAACUUCGUGCCAGCCGCCGCGGUAA